AUACGGAGGGUGCAAGCGUUAUCCGGAUUCAUUGGGUUUAAAGGGUUCGCAGGCGGCGUAUUAAGUCAGUGGUAAAAUCCCGAGGCUCAACCUCGGAACUGCCAUUGAUACUGGUAUGCUAGAGUAUAGUUGGCGUUGGCGGAAUGUAUCAUGUAGCGGUGAAAUGCUUAGAUAUGAUACAGAACACCGAUCGCGAAGGCAGCUAACGAAACUAUAACUGACGCUCAGGAACGAAAGCGUGGGGAGCGAACAGGAUUAGAAACCCCGGUAGUCC
This 274-nucleotide ribosomal RNA is filed under the name uncultured bacterium. RNAcentral's name for it is "partial 16S ribosomal RNA". It matches the Rfam family "Bacterial small subunit ribosomal RNA", at positions 523 to 796 of the family's 1533-position model. The record is from RNAcentral.